Molecule: ribosomal RNA, 460 nt
Filed under: uncultured bacterium
Lineage: Bacteria
Description: partial 16S ribosomal RNA
Rfam family: Bacterial small subunit ribosomal RNA
Source: RNAcentral
CCUACGGGAGGCAGCAGUGAGGAAUAUUGGUCAAUGGACGAGAGUCUGAACCAGCCAAGUAGCGUGAAGGAUGACUGCCCUAUGGGUUGUAAACUUCUUUUAUAUGGGAAUAAAAUGUUCCACGUGUGUGAUUUUGUAUGUACCAUAUGAAUAAGGAUCGGCUAACUCCGUCCCAGCAGCCGCGGUAAUACGGAGGAUCCGAGCGUUAUCCGGAUUUAUUGGGUUUAAAGGGAGCGUAGGUGGAUUGUUAAGUCAGUUGUGAAAGUUUGCGGCUCAACCGUAAAAUUGCAGUUGAAACUGGCAGUCUUGAGUACAGUAGAGGUGGGCGGAAUUCGUGGUGUAGCGGUGAAAUGCUUAGAUAUCACGAAGAACUCCGAUUGCGAAGGCAGUUCACUGGACUGCAACUGACACUGAGGCUCGAAAGUGUGGGUAUCAAACAGGAUUAGAUACCCGAGUAGUC